RNAcentral lists this microRNA (23 nucleotides) under Parasteatoda tepidariorum (common house spider). RNAcentral's name for it is "pte-miR-92a-5p". Its record names the gene pte-miR-92a-5p. Lineage: Eukaryota; Metazoa; Arthropoda; Arachnida; Araneae; Theridiidae. The record is from miRBase by way of RNAcentral.
AGGUCGGGGUGAUUGGCAGUAUU